UUCCGGCAUAGCUCAGUUGGUAGUAGCGCAUGACUGUUAAUCAUGAUGUCGUAGGUUCGAGUCCUAUUGCCGGAGU
RNAcentral lists this transfer RNA (76 nucleotides) under Streptococcus pyogenes. RNAcentral describes it as "tRNA-Asn". It matches the Rfam family "tRNA". Rfam says of the family: Transfer RNA (tRNA) molecules are approximately 80 nucleotides in length. Their secondary structure includes four short double-helical elements and three loops (D, anti-codon, and T loops). Further hydrogen bonds mediate the characteristic L-shaped molecular structure. tRNAs have two regions of fundamental functional importance: the anti-codon, which is responsible for specific mRNA codon recognition, and the 3' end, to which the tRNAs corresponding amino acid is attached (by aminoacyl-tRNA synthetases). tRNAs cope with the degeneracy of the genetic code in two manners: having more than one tRNA (with a specific anti-codon) for a particular amino acid; and 'wobble' base-pairing, i.e. permitting non-standard base-pairing at the 3rd anti-codon position. The record is from RNAcentral. Lineage: Bacteria; Bacillati; Bacillota; Bacilli; Lactobacillales; Streptococcaceae.